GUGCUCGCUUCAGCAGCACAUUAAAAUUGGAACAAUGCAGAGAAGGUUAGCAUGGCCCCUGCACAAGGAUGGCACACUAAUACGUGAAACAUUCCAUAUUUUU
Molecule: small nuclear RNA, 103 nt
Filed under: Myotis davidii
Lineage: Eukaryota; Metazoa; Chordata; Mammalia; Chiroptera; Vespertilionidae
Source: RNAcentral